AUCCAGCAGACGAAUCUCACAUAAGACUAAACGUGCCUCCUGGAU
This 45-nucleotide non-coding RNA is filed under the name Trichobilharzia regenti. Lineage: Eukaryota; Metazoa; Platyhelminthes; Trematoda; Strigeidida; Schistosomatidae. The record is from RNAcentral.